UCGAACGAGACUUUCGGGUCUAGUGGCGGACGGCUGAGUAACGCGUAGGUAACGUACCUCUUACUGGGGGAUAACAUCGGGAAACCGGUGCUAAUACCGCAUAAGUCGUGUCUUGAAAUAGAUACGAUUAAAGAUUUAUCGGUAAGAGAUUGGCCUGCGUCUGAUUAGCUAGUUGGUAGGGUAAUGGCCUACCAAGGCGAUGAUCAGUAGUUGGUCUGAGAGGAUGACCAGCCAGAGUGGGACUGAGAACGGCCCACACUUCUACGGAAGGCAGCAGUAGGGAAUUUUGCGCAAUGGGCGAAAGCCUGACGCAGCAACACCGCGUGCGGGAUGAAGGCCUUUGGGUUGUAAACCGCUGUCAGCAGGGAAUAAAUUGACUGUACCUGCAAAGGAAGCACCGGCUAACUACGUGCCAGCAGCCGCG
Molecule: ribosomal RNA, 424 nt
Filed under: uncultured soil bacterium
Lineage: Bacteria
Description: bacterial SSU rRNA
Rfam family: Bacterial small subunit ribosomal RNA
Source: RNAcentral